GUGGGGAAUCUUGCGCAAUGGGCGAAAGCCUGACGCAGCGACGCCGCGUGGGUGAUGAAGGCCUUCGGGUUGUAAAGCUCUUUGGGUGGAGACGAAUAAGUCGUGGCUAACAUCCACGAUGAUGACGGUAUCCACAUAACAAGCACCGGCUAACUCUGUGCCAGCAGCCGCGGUAAGACAGAGGGUGCAAACGUUGUUCGGAAUUACUGGGCGUAAAGCGCAUGUAGGCGGCCAAGCAGGUCGGAUGUGAAAUCCCUCGGCUCAACCAAGGAAGUGCAUUCGAAACCGCAUGGCUGGAGUCCCGGAGAGGAAGGUGGAAUUCUCGGUGUAGAGGUGAAAUUCGUAGAUAUCGAGAGGAACACCGGUGGCGAAAGCGGCCUUCUGGACGAGGACUGACGCUGAGAUGCGAAAGCGUGGGGAGCAAACAGGAUUAGAAACCCGAGUAGUCC
RNAcentral lists this ribosomal RNA (449 nucleotides) under uncultured bacterium. RNAcentral's name for it is "bacterial SSU rRNA". It matches the Rfam family "Bacterial small subunit ribosomal RNA", at positions 354 to 796 of the family's 1533-position model. The record is from RNAcentral.